GUAGGCAAAGGACUCUAACCUCUGUACGGGGGUUUACAGCCCCCCACUUAACACUCAGCCACCCUACCUG
This 70-nucleotide transfer RNA is filed under the name Amphisbaena xera. Its description in RNAcentral is "tRNA-Tyr". The record is from RNAcentral. Lineage: Eukaryota; Metazoa; Chordata; Lepidosauria; Squamata; Amphisbaenidae.